Molecule: long non-coding RNA, 1198 nt
Organism: Salvia splendens (bonfire salvia)
Lineage: Eukaryota; Viridiplantae; Streptophyta; Magnoliopsida; Lamiales; Lamiaceae
Exons: 3
Source: RefSeq, a predicted model, not a curated record
UGCACUUGAAAAUUUUUCGACCUUGUUUCUUUUGUCGAGAAAAGAAAGUAACUCUUUGUAUUAAUUUAGCUUAUGAGGUAAGCUUCGUAUUUAGCUUAUGAGGUAAGCUUCGUAUUUAGCUUAGGAGGUAAGCUUCGGUUUAGCUUAUGAAGUAAGCUUCGGGUUAGCUUAUGAAGUAAGCUUCGGUAAACCUAUAUAUAUAAAGGAGUCGAAAGAGGUUAAAGGGAGGAGGGGAAGAAGGAGAGUCGGGCGCCUUCACAUGUGCAUUUCGAGAAUGGAAGGGACAAAAGUUAAGGCUUUAAACGAACGAGGAGGUAAGCUUCGGUUUAGCUUAUGAAGUAAGCUUCGGGUUAGCUUAUGAAGUAAGCUUCGGUAAACCUAUAUAUAUAAAGGAGUCGAAAGAGGUUAAAGGGAGGAGGGGAAGAAGGAGAGUCGGGCGCCUUCACAUGUGCAUUUCGAGAAUGGAAGGGACAAAAGUUAAGGCUUUAAACGAACGAGGAGGUAAGCUUCGGUUUAGCUUAUGAAGUAAGCUUCGGGUUAGCUUAUGAAGUAAGCUUCGGUAAACCUAUAUAUAUAAAGGAGUCGAAAGAGGUUAAAGGGAGGAGGGGAAGAAGGAGAGUCGGGCGCCUUCACAUGUGCAUUUCGAGAAUGGAAGGGACAAAAGUUAAGGCUUUAAACGAACGAGGUGAGCUUUCUUAUACAAAAAAAAAUACAAAUCGUAUUUUAUGAGAACACGAACACAUGUUCGUGAUGUUUAAAGAUGUUGUCUUGCCAUAAAUGCUUUGUUUUAUGUAGUGAUGCCUAUCUGUUUGGUUAUACCGAAUGUGCUAUGCCAAAAUGAAUGAAUGAAACGAAUUCGGACUCCAAUAGGACCGCAAAUCCUAUUCGAGUUAGUGUACACAAAGGAAUGGACCGUGUGUCAUCGUAAGGGUUGGCCGGUCAAUGUGAUCGUGGAAGGUGGCCACCUUCCCGACACACUAUGAAUUAUCAGAUAUGGCGGAUUACAAGAAUGAACUUAGUCUGAUCAGACGGACUUUAUGAAAAUGAACUUAGUAAACUCGGGCCUUUAAGAAAAACCCCGAGUGUUACUGUGAUGAUGGCUUGACAAUAUUUUAAAAUGUAUAAUUGUAUUUUUCGGCAAUGUGUUCACUGAGUACUUUUGUACUCAGCCCUGCAUAUAUUUCUAAAUGUGCAGGUU